Long non-coding RNA from Xiphophorus hellerii (green swordtail), 1619 nucleotides. RefSeq lists it as uncharacterized. The record is from RefSeq and is a predicted model, not a curated record. The transcript has 2 exons. Lineage: Eukaryota; Metazoa; Chordata; Actinopteri; Cyprinodontiformes; Poeciliidae.
CGCUGGCCAGCACUGCAGCGCCCCCAUAGACCAUACUGGGUAGUGCAGGAAACACCUGGCAAUGUGAAGAACAGCUCUGUGGGUCGGUUGCUACGGUGAUGAUGUGAUACUUGGGGCUCACCUCGUCCAGGAUCAGAACUGCAGGCGCUGCCAUGCUGCCAAUCCUCGCCAUCGUGGAGACGAAGCCCAUUCCUGUCUGCCUGGAAGGACAUCACAACAUGUUCUGGUAACCCGGUCAGAAGUUCUGAUGAGGAUGGAACCGGGCCUGUUGGACCCACCUGAUGACAGUGGGGUAGAGCUCUCCGGUGUACAGGUAGACGGUGGUGAAGGAGGCCGAUGUGAAGGCUUUACCCAGACAGGCUAGGGUGGUUCUGAGGCUCUGCAUGUCUGCAGGAUAGAGACCAGAACCAGAACCAGAUCAAGACAACAGACCGGGUUAAAACCAGAACCACACAUCACAAAAUGAUCAGGGUUAGAAUCACAGAUUAGAGAUUAGAUCCGGAUCAGAACCAGUGAUUUGGCCUGAGUCAGAAUCAGAACCACACUGUGAGUCGAGUCAGAAUUUAACACAUAAUCUGAACAAAGAUUAGAGACGGAGUCAGGAUCAGAACCAGAACGGGAGAUAGUUCUGGAAACCCAAUAAAGACGGGGUAGAGAUCAGAUCUGGAAUCAGGGUGAGUCAGGACUGGAUUUAGGGUCAUAUCAGAACCAGAACCUCUGUACCUGUGGGGACAAAGAUGUUGGCAAAGAUGAUGACAGCCGACAGGAACAGGCACGACACCUGGGAGACCCGCCUGCCCAGGUAACUGAGCAUACCCAGAGCCAAGAACUUUGCAGGAAUAUCUACAGCUCCAAAGAUGAUCUGCAUCAGGUAAAUACUUACCUGGAACGACCCACAGCCAAUCAGAACGCAGUUCACUCCAGAAACAAGGAAGACAGGUGAGCAGAAAUCAGAGAACUCACCCCGAACUUCUGCAGGUCCAUCGCCAAACCAUAGUAAGCAAAACUGGUGGAGAACCUGCAGACAGGUACACAGGUAAACACCUGCACAGGUAGAGAUUGUAAUAGAAAAUUUUGUUUUUAGCCUUAUUUAUUUUUGAUGGAACUGAUUAUACUUUUUUAACAUUUAUUUACUGAUUAUAGCUGCUGUGUUUUUGUAUUUCUGCAAGAUGUGUUUUUCCAUUAGAGAAGUUUCCAGAUAAUGUUUAGCUGUUUCCGCAGCCGUGAUAGUAUAAGAGACCUGAAGACAUCUUGGGUAAAAUGCUUAAGCUGGCAGUUGUCUUAAAGGACUGACGUGUGGAAUGUAGUUUGUACCCUUGUUCGACCCAGCACCCAUGAGAAACUGACAAAGAAAAAUUAGAAGUUUCUCCUGAAACCCUUAUCGGUUCUCUUUCCUGCCAUAAAAUCGUCCCCUCCAAGAGGUGAGGGAUAGUUCAUGAGGUGGGGGUAAGCACUGUGGUCCAUCUGGCAAUAGACCAGACUUUGGGUGGGUCUUUUCCUUGCUGUGACUUUACAACAAUGUGAUGUGACUGUGUUCAGGGCUCUUCUCCUGACUGCAUUCAGUGAGACGGGACUUCGAACGCUUUUUGCCUUCGAAUAAAUAAACUUAAAGACAAAGA